Molecule: unclassified non-coding RNA, 962 nt
Filed under: Hevea brasiliensis (rubber tree)
Lineage: Eukaryota; Viridiplantae; Streptophyta; Magnoliopsida; Malpighiales; Euphorbiaceae
Source: RNAcentral
AGAAGACGAAGUCAAUUGGGUGGGCGACAAAGACAAAGCAACUAGUAUUAUACUGUUUCCAUUUCUUUACAGUAUAACAAGACUUUUCUCUGUACAAUAAACUCUGAUUCAUUCAAUUCAAUACAAUAUUUUGACUCCCUUUAUAGUCUUCUUCAGAUCACCAUUUGUUUUACACUUGACGAACUUUCUGAACAAACCCCAUCAAAGUAUUUACUUUUCCUGCCGAUUUUUGCUUCCAAGAAUAUCUCACGGUUAUAAGAAGGAUAACUAUGAGCUGCUUCGGUUGUUGUGACGAUGAUGACAUGCAUAAACCUGCUGAUCAUGGACCAUUCAUGACCAACAAUGCAGCAGGCUACAAUGCAGGGCAGCGUGUAACAGAAAGUGCGCAAAGGGAGACGCAGAAUGUUAACAUCCUGCCCAUUGCUGUUCCUUCUAUAACUGUUGAUGAGUUAAAAGACAUCACAGACAACUUUGGUACAAAAGCCUUGAUAGGUGAGGGAUCGUAUGGAAGGGUAUACCAUGGUGUCCUGAAAAGUGGACGUGCUGCAGCCAUUAAAAAAUUAGACUCAAGUAAGCAGCCUGAUCGAGAAUUUUUAGCUCAGGUCUCAAUGGUCUCAAGACUAAAAGAUGAAAAUGUGGUUGAAUUACUCGGUUAUUGUGUGGAUGGCGGUUUUCGUGUGCUAGCCUAUGAGUAUGCCCCGAAUGGAUCUCUUCAUGACAUUCUUCAUGGAAGGAAAGGCGUGAAAGGUGCACAGCCAGGUCCAGUAUUGUCAUGGGCUCAACGAGUUAAAAUUGCGGUUGGGGCUGCAAAAGGACUGGAGUACUUGCAUGAAAAAGCACAGCCUCAUAUCAUUCACCGUGAUAUUAAGUCUAGCAACAUUUUACUCUUUGAUGACGAUGUUGCUAAGAUCGCAGAUUUUGAUUUAUCAAAUCAAGCCCCUGAUAUGGCAGCACGUCUUCAU